RNAcentral lists this ribosomal RNA (495 nucleotides) under uncultured Bacteroidota bacterium. RNAcentral describes it as "bacterial SSU rRNA". It matches the Rfam family "Bacterial small subunit ribosomal RNA", at positions 13 to 505 of the family's 1533-position model. Lineage: Bacteria; Pseudomonadati; Bacteroidota. The record is from RNAcentral.
UUGAUCAUGGCUCAGGAUGAACGCUAGCGGCAGGCUUAACACAUGCAAGUCGAGGGGCAUCACGAGUAGCAAUACUUGGUGGCGACCGGCGCACGGGUGCGUAACGCGUAUACAACCUACCUUAUAUAGGUGAAUAACCCGAAGAAAUUCGGACUAAUACACCGUAAGUAUACCAAAGGCAUCUUUGGUAUAUGAUAGAUUUAUCGAUAUAAGAUGGGUAUGCGUGACAUUAGGUAGUUGGUGGGGUAAAGGCUCACCAAGCCGACGAUGUCUAGGGGUUCUGAGAGGAAGGUCCCCCACACUGGUACUGAGACACGGACCAGACUCCUACGGGAGGCAGCAGUGAGGAAUAUUGGUCAAUGGGCGCAAGCCUGAACCAGCCAUGCCGCGUGCAGGAUGAAUGCUCUAUGAGUUGUAAACUGCUUUAUACAAGAAUAAUAUGAGUUACGUGUAAUUUUUUGAAUGUAUUGUAUGAAUAAGGACCGGCUAACUCCG